CAGAGCCCGCCAGCCGCUAGGCCAGGGCCACACCUGGGGGUGAUCGUAUGUCUCACCUCCAGUAGGCACCGCGGUCUCUUUGGGCUAAUCUCUGGCUCCCUCGCACUAACCAUUGCUCCACCCAGCUAACCCCUGCCUUGCCCUGGCUGCCCCCAGGGGCUGACCACUCGCUAACAGCCAACCCUGCCCUUCUGGGGGCUCCAGGCUCCUGGCCUGGCUCUGACCGGCUCUUCAUUAACCUCUCCUUCACCUCCACUAACUCCUGCCCUCCUGGUCUGUUCCUCUCAGCAGAAACUAACGGCUUGUGGAUUUCCUUCUGACUAACAACAGGUCUAAUGCUCCUCCUUACUGUUACUAUUAACAGCUUGGAUGUCAGCAUGGCUGGG
Myotis brandtii (Brandt's bat) is the source of this 386-nucleotide non-coding RNA. NCBI's taxonomy places the organism in Eukaryota, Metazoa, Chordata, Mammalia, Chiroptera, Vespertilionidae. The record is from Rfam.